GGAACAAACAAGUGUAGACCUAUAAAGCUGGUGAACGCUUGAGGUUACACAACAACCAACGCGUCUGAUGUAGAUUGUCUUUAUAACUAUAUAAGACAUCGGAGACGUUCGCAUUUCGUGCAAAUCUACCUUUCGACCUCUCUCGCACAUUUCUUGAAUUUUUUACGUUCACUGAAAUCACCACUGUUGCGCAUAUAACUAACCAUCCUAAGAGAAGAUACACUGGUUCUCUAUCUACAAUUGCUUAAUUAAAGUUAACCGUUUCAUCAUUGUUGCAAGAUAAGAAAGAAUAAUCCCAGUACUAUAAUCUAUUCAUUGGUGGAAAUGGCGAACGAAUGAAUACUUUUGAUGUAGAAGUGGGAAAGUUAGACAAUUUGAAAAUCCACUUAGUGAUUGUUUUUAUGUCAUGUACAAACCUGAUCGAAGAAGAUUACACCUUUGACCAAUACGAUAACGCCGAGUAUUACACGAAGUCGAGAAAAGUUGAUAGCGCUGGAUAUGUCAAGAGAGAGUUGUGUGAUGUUACUUACAGAGUAUCCAAGUUUAUGAACAUUCAUCUCUAUGUUAAACAUAACAUUCAUCUUUGGGUACAGGAGACCAAUUUCAAUCAUUUAUUAAAACAAAUUACCUGCGAGAUUCUAAAAUUCGUUCACAUUCAUUCAAACAAAAUCCCACAUUUUUCCUAUCAAAUUAAUAAUAUUCAAUCAAGUUUUUUGAUUAUAAGUGAAAAAUUCAAAUGUUUAAGGGAUAUCACAAAAAUUGAGGGACAAAUUAAACAAUUCUUUUCCCCAUGUCCAACUCUAAAAAUAUAUGAACAUCACCAAACUGGACCUGUUAUUUUCAUCGAAGACCCAUUAAACUAUAAAACAAACCUUCUGAAUAAGGGACAAUUCUGGGGGUUAAAAUUUAAACAAGGUCAUAUUAGGAUUUUUAAAGACAAGGGAGUCCUUGUCACAAAAUCAAUCAAAGACUUAGAAAAUAUUGAACAAAAAUUUAUAAAUUUCGUAGAUUACUGUAAUUUUAGUACUGAGUUAAAAUGGCUUUGAUUCAGAAAAUAAUUAACACCCUUUACAAGGAAAAUCACAUAAAUAAUGAAAUGAA
Long non-coding RNA from Lineus longissimus, 1101 nucleotides. RefSeq lists it as uncharacterized. The record is from RefSeq and is a predicted model, not a curated record. NCBI's taxonomy places the organism in Eukaryota, Metazoa, Nemertea, Pilidiophora, Heteronemertea, Lineidae. The transcript is spliced from 5 exons.